This 438-nucleotide ribosomal RNA is filed under the name uncultured bacterium. RNAcentral's name for it is "bacterial SSU rRNA". It matches the Rfam family "Bacterial small subunit ribosomal RNA", at positions 958 to 1397 of the family's 1533-position model. The record is from RNAcentral.
AACGCGAAGAACCUUACCUGGGCUCGAAGCGCAGUGGACCGGGGUAGAAAUAUCCCUUUUCGCAAGAACCGCUGCGGAGGUGCUGCAUGGCUGUCGUCAGCUCGUGUCGUGAGAUGUUGGGUUAAGUCCCGCAACGAGCGCAACCCUUAUCGUUAGUUGCCACCAUUAAGUUGGGCACUCUAGUGGAACUGCCGGUGAUAAACCGGAGGAAGGUGGGGAUGACGUCAAGUCAUCAUGGCCUUUAUGUCCAGGGCUACACACGUGCUACAAUGGCCGGUACAAACCGCCGCAAACUCGCGAGAGGGAGCCAAUCGGAAAAAGCCGGUCUCAGUUCGGAUUGGAGUCUGCAACUCGACUCCAUGAAGUUGGAAUCGCUAGUAAUCGCAGAUCAGCACGCUGCGGUGAAUACGUUCCCGGGCCUUGUACACACCGAGACGA